AGCAGUAGCAACAGCGGCGACUCACUGGAUUUACACAAAAACAUUUCACUAAAAUACACAAAUGCCGGUACGCAGAACGCUUAGGUUUUAUGUAACUACGAAUGGAUCGUAUAAAAAGGCGUUUGUGAAGAAUUAUUUGUAAACGUGAUCCAGUUUUAAACGGUUUUAGCGUCUUUGUACAGCUUCCGAUUUCUGAGGUAACCAUAGAUAUCGAAGACACAGGAGCGCUUUAAUUUUAUCUACUCGCACUCGCCGAGGAUCGCGGUAAAUCCUCAAAUUUGAUUUUUAAACAUUCUGAGAGGAUUUCUGUCAAGAAACGCUGAGCAAGGAAUCAAAUCCAGUCAAGAGACGGAUCCAGUCAACCUCGGGCAGCCGGAGUGGAAGACUGCCUGCUAGGUUGAGGAGAUUUGGGGUACCUCGUAGACCCCUAGAUUCCUCCGAUGAACCCCAUCAACUCCAUGAAACCUGCCCUGCCUCCAACGCCACACAGUGACGCCUCAUACCCAUAUGAUCCUGUCCCCUGGCAGCAAGGCCCCAAUCAGCCUGCCGGCUCCCUCUCUGUGGUAACCACAGUGUGGGGGGUAACCAAUCCUUCACCCAGCCAGGUUUUUGGUGCUCCCAUGGGUCCAGGCGGAAACUCAGGCGGUGGUCACAUGAUGCCUGGCAACAGCCCGGGCAUGAACUCCUCUCAGUUUAUGAGCCAGCAGGGCUACCCGGAGCCCAACAAGGGGUACAUGCAGCAGGGCAUGUAUGGGCGGCCCAGCGGGGGAUACCCAGCAGGGCCUGGAUAUGGGGGCAGCUACCCCAAUAACGGAGGGGGUUCCCUCGGGAUGCCGCCACAUGGAGUACGCCAGUCCACAGACUUCACCCAGGCGGCCGCCGCCGCUGCCGUGGCUGCGGCCGCUGCCACCGCAACGGCCACUGCCACAGCAACAGUUGCCGCUAUACAGGAGAAGCAAAACCAGGAGAUGAACUACGGGCCUAUGGGUGGCGCUUCCUCUUACAACACCCAGUUCCUGUCACACUCCGGACCCCGCGGCCCACCCGGCAUGGCCCCCUCAGGAAUGGUAGGCUCCAGACCCCCUUCCAUGGGACCCAUGUACGCGCAGCAGGGCCAGAGGUUGCCCCAGCAUCCGGUGUAUCAGGGAGGCCAGCAGGUUCCUCAACGACACCCGCAGGGACUGAAACGCCCCUAUAACGCCGAUGGAUUUCCGGGUCAGCAGUAUGGCCCUGGGAUGGGUGCUGGGGGGCCUUACCCAGGCCAGCCCAUGCAGUACGGUCCUGGGCCACAGCGGUCUGCGCCGUCUCCAUCUUACCCAACCCACAGAAUGCCCAUCCAGCAACCCAAUAUGGGCCAGUAUCCUGCAGGACCAGGAAACCCUGGCCAGUACUACAAGGCGGACCAGUUUAAUGGACAGGGCAACAGCCACACCAGUCUAUCAUCUGGAGUGACAGGAUCUGGCUACAACACCUUCAGCCAGGCCGCUGUCAAUGGGCCUGGACGCUCGAUGCCUGGAUACCCCAGCUCCCCCCUCCCGGGAAAUCCCACUCCUCCCAUGACCCCUGGCAGUUCUAUGCCGUACAUGUCCCCCGGCCAAGAUGUGAAAUCGCCCUUCCUCCAUGAUGUCAAACCUAACAUCAACUCUCUGCAGCCCCCUACAGGGAACCCCAGUGAUGACCUGCGUCUGACUUUUCCCGUACGGGACGGUGUCGUGUUGGAGCCCUUCCGACUGGAGCACAACUUAGCCGUCAGCAACCACGUCUUCCAGCUGCGAGACUCCGUCUACAAGACCCUCAUGAUGAGGCCAGACCUGGAGCUUCAGUUUAAGUGCUAUCAUCACGAAGACAGGCAGAUGAACACCAAUUGGCCGGCGUCGGUGCAGGUGAGCGUCAACGCCACGCCUCUCACCAUUGAGCGUGGGGAUAACAAGACCUCCCACAAACCCUUGUACCUGAAGCAAGUCUGCCAGCCGGGACGCAACACUAUACAGAUAACGGUCACGGCCUGCUGCUGUUCUCAUCUGUUUGUACUGCAGCUGGUUCACAGGCCGUCCGUGCGCUCCGUUCUUCAGGGUCUGAUGAAGAAAAGGCUCCUGCCAGCGGAGCACUGUGUCACUAAGAUUAAGAGGAACUUCAGUAGCGGUACCAUCCCGGGAACUCCCGGGCUCAACGGCGAGGACGGCGUGGAACAGACGGCCAUCAAAGUCUCGCUCAAGUGUCCAAUCACCUUUCGCCGCAUCCAGCUUCCUGCCAGGGGCCAUGACUGCAGACACAUACAGUGCUUUGAUCUGGAGUCCUACCUGCAGCUAAACUGUGAAAGGGGAACUUGGCGUUGUCCUGUGUGCAAUAAGACCGCUCUUCUGGAAGGGCUAGAAGUGGAUCAGUACAUGCUGGGCAUUCUUAUAUACAUCCAGAAUUCGGACUAUGAAGAGAUCACCAUUGAUCCAGUGUGCAGCUGGAAACCAGUCCCGGUGAAACCAGACCUGCAUAUUAAAGAGGAUCCAGACGGCCCUGCCCUGAAACGCUGUCGCACCCUUAGUCCCAGUCACAUGAUCCUGCCUAGCGUAAUGGAGAUGAUUGCAGCGUUGGGCCCGGCCUCCUCGCCCUACCAGUCUUUACCACAAGGUGGAAGUAGCAGCACGCCUGAUUAUCCCAACCAAGGUGGUUCAGGAUAUUCCAACCAGUCUGGCUUUUCGGACUUUCCCAAUGCUCCCGGCACCCCGACCCUGGGGGAAUUUGCCUCCGGACCGCCCCCUCUUUCCUACCAGUCUGACCUACCUAGUGGUCUCCUUACUCCUGAAAAACCUGUGGGACACCCAAUGUCAGGACAGAUGUCCCAUUCUAGUCGAAUGGACCCAUCCCACAAUCCCCUCCAACAGCAACAACAACAACAGCAGCAGCAGCAGCAGCAUCAAGGUCUUCAUGGUAACCCCAACAUGGGUGGCCCCGGAGGACCCAUGCAUUCCCGCAACCCCUCCCAGAACACGCGGAUGCACGCAGAUAGUUUUGGGCUGGGGGGACCCGGAGACGUUCCAGAGCCUCCCCUUGAUGUAAGUCAGAAUCAGUCAUGUAUUCCACGUCAACACAGCGAUGACUUUGGAGUUCAAGGAAUUCAAAUGAACUCGACACAAACAACAAAUGUCAGGUUGUAGGCCGCCAUUGUUGUCUUGGUUAUAAUCACGCAUGCCUGUAGACUGCAUUAACACAUGCGCAUGAUGUCACCGUUAUUCACGUUUACGUAAUCAAAAACUUGCACUUUAAACCCGUCUCCAAAAGUAUGCGUUUUCAGGACACCAAAGCGCUGUUGUUGUGUAAACGAACAGCCAAACUGCACAAAAACUUUCAAUCAUUGUCGUGUACACGACCCCUAAGCCUUGUGGUAUCUUCUAAUGGGCUGAUGGGUUGAAUCAGCUUCUCCCAGAACUGACGAACCCAGAUGAGUUGCUGUCCUACUUGGGUCCGCCCGACCUUCCUAACAACAGCAGCGAUGACCUGCUCUCUCUGUUCGAGAGCAACUGAUCCCGUUCAUUCCUCCGCCCUGCGUCACCGUCCAACAGACAAGCCUCCCCCUGCACGCUCUCGGCCCACCGCAGGGAGGUUUGGGAAGUGUAACAGAUAGCCAAUUGCGCCCUUUCCUUUUGAGACUCAUGGGAAGGCGCAACAGAGAUCUUUUUUCCUGUGACAAUGUUACCGUUCGUCUGCUUCGCUGAACUCUGUCAAGAUUUUAUUGUGAAUUCAUUUCGGAAAAAGUUCCUUUCUUACGAGCUGCGCUCUCGGAUCAUUUGUAGAAAGACGCCUCAUCUCGCAUCUGACUCGUGUGUGGUGUAAAUGACAUUGUGUGGUGGGGAGGGGUGGGACGGGUCCGGACAUCAUUAGUUUUUUCAUUGCAGCUCCUGUUUAAAAUCUAAAUUAGACAACAAAAAAAGAAAUGGGCGGAGCCAAAGCGUUUUACUUCUGAUGUGACACAAAAAAUAGUUUUACUAAUGCAUAACGUAAAUCACAACUUCUUACAUAAACAGGAAGGCUUUUUUGCCCAAAGAUAGCUCCAUGUAACAUUUAUUUUACUUAAAGAAAACUCAAGUGUAGCCUUUUUCCUAAAAACACGCUGAUCGAAGCAAUCGCAAUGUGUUAGACAGUACCAUUAAAAAAAUGCACACUUUAUUGCACACAUGGAUGUUUCGAUACUGUUUUGCCUACAGAAACAUACAAUAACAGGCAAUGAAUCCGUUUUAGGUAACACACACAUGCACACCUUUAGUCACCCUUAGUGUGUGUUUUGGCACAAAAACAAACUUUUAUACCACACCCUGCUUUCAAAAACCUGUCUGUUCCCCCUGACGACUAUUUUUUUUUAUAAAGUCUUCCUCCUUGUGAAUUUCGGGUCACAAGGUCUACGGAUUUCUACGAUGCCAUUCGAACCCCUCACUCGCAUUUCAGUUGCCUCUUAAAUAUGCAAGUGAGAGACUUUAGGCUGCUAUAUGGUAUAAAAAUGAAAUGCGACCGCAUUUAAGACUUCGAAACCAUGCAGAAAGUGCAGGCAGCCCUGUAGCAACUUGUAGACAGGUUAUUAAACACACAAACGCACACAACUUUGGCGCAAAUCUUCCCAUAGUUUUUGCUCGGACAGAUCUGGGUGGGUAGCUAACAGGAAACGGACUGACUUUAUACCUGCAAACAUUGGUAUACAUUGGGAUUCAUGUGAAAUAUGUACAGAUAUAGUAUUAUUAUUGUUGCAGAUGUGAACUUUCUCUUAACCCCAUAAUAAUAUGAAAAAAAUGAACAUUUUAAACACUAUGACAAGAGCUGGUGUCAGACAUGCUGUUUAUUACCCCUGUUCGUUCUCAUUCAAUACUCAUGUUCUCGAUGGAUGGAGAUGAGUCUGCUGUCGUGUCUUGUCUCAUUUUAUUUAUCAUCACUCUCUGUUAGCAAAGUGCAGUUUGUAUAUUAACAAUACAGGGAGCACCGGGAGUUGUUGGAUAUGUGCUUAUGUUUUUCCUUUUAAAGUCAUUUGUGUAUCAUACAAUUUUAUCUUUUGAUUAUAUAAUAAUUGUUAUUAUAAUUAUAAAGACAAUUGAUGGGCCUGUAUGCAUCUCUCUGUCUCUCUUCUGUGUUAACUAGCAGAGUUUAUGAAUUUGUUAGAAAGAGAAAAACAACAUGAAUUCAUCAUCAUCUAAGAUCUAUGACCAUGGGAAGCUUGGAGACCUGCAUCAUGUCGCGUUCACUUGUUGAUCAAACUGUUGGAAAAGAUGUUUGACUGUCACGUGUUGGUGGAUCAUUACGUUCUAUCAAUUGGAUUAAAACAUGUACAAUUGAAAUCGAUUUGUUUUUCUAAGGAUGUGAAAUAUUUCCAUUAUGUUUUGUAAGUAAAGACUUAAGCCCCA
This is an RNA transcript of Paramisgurnus dabryanus, 5381 nucleotides long. It is a transcript of the gene named zinc finger, MIZ-type containing 2, with no coding region annotated. The record is from RefSeq and is a predicted model, not a curated record. Lineage: Eukaryota; Metazoa; Chordata; Actinopteri; Cypriniformes; Cobitidae.